Molecule: RNase P RNA, 286 nt
Filed under: Nitrosomonadales bacterium
Lineage: Bacteria; Pseudomonadati; Pseudomonadota; Betaproteobacteria; Nitrosomonadales
Description: RNase P RNA component class A
Rfam family: Bacterial RNase P class A
About the family: Ribonuclease P (RNase P) is a ubiquitous endoribonuclease, found in archaea, bacteria and eukarya as well as chloroplasts and mitochondria. Its best characterised activity is the generation of mature 5'-ends of tRNAs by cleaving the 5'-leader elements of precursor-tRNAs.
Source: RNAcentral
UAAGUUGACCAGACAGUCACUAUACUUUUGUGUAGAGGAAAGUCCGGGCUCCUAGAGCAGAGUGAUGGCUAACAGCCAUACAUCGUGAGAUGAGGAAUAGGGCCACAGAGACGAGCGUAUUUAGUUACGGUGAAACGCGGUAACCUCCACUCGGAGCAAGGCCAAAUAGGAUAACGUUAGCACGGCUCGUGUUGUUAUCGGGUAGGCUGCUUGAACAUAUAAGUAAUUAUAUGUCUAGAUGAAUGACUGUCCAUGACAGAACCCGGCUUAUAGGUCAACUUACCUU